GGGCGGUACCGGGCCCCUCUGACGGCAGCACUUCUACGCUCCGUGAUGUCGGAACUGCUCC
Devosia sp. Root413D1 is the source of this 61-nucleotide regulatory RNA element. It matches the Rfam family "terC RNA". The record is from Rfam. NCBI's taxonomy places the organism in Bacteria, Pseudomonadati, Pseudomonadota, Alphaproteobacteria, Hyphomicrobiales, Devosiaceae.